Molecule: ribosomal RNA, 1433 nt
Filed under: Ligilactobacillus animalis
Lineage: Bacteria; Bacillati; Bacillota; Bacilli; Lactobacillales; Lactobacillaceae
Description: partial 16S ribosomal RNA
Rfam family: Bacterial small subunit ribosomal RNA
Source: RNAcentral
AUGCAAGUCGAACGAAACUUCUUUAUCACCGAGUGCUUGCACUCACCGAUAAAGAGUUGAGUGGCGAACGGGUGAGUAACACGUGGGCAACCUGCCCAAAAGAGGGGGAUAACACUUGGAAACAGGUGCUAAUACCGCAUAACCAUAGUUACCGCAUGGUAACUAUGUAAAAGGUGGCUAUGCUACCGCUUUUGGAUGGGCCCGCGGCGCAUUAGCUAGUUGGUGAGGUAAAGGCUUACCAAGGCAAUGAUGCGUAGCCGAACUGAGAGGUUGAUCGGCCACAUUGGGACUGAGACACGGCCCAAACUCCUACGGGAGGCAGCAGUAGGGAAUCUUCCACAAUGGGCGAAAGCCUGAUGGAGCAACGCCGCGUGGGUGAAGAAGGUCUUCGGAUCGUAAAACCCUGUUGUUAGAGAAGAAAGUGCGUGAGAGUAACUGUUCACGUUUCGACGGUAUCUAACCAGAAAGCCACGGCUAACUACGUGCCAGCAGCCGCGGUAAUACGUAGGUGGCAAGCGUUAUCCGGAUUUAUUGGGCGUAAAGGGAACGCAGGCGGUCUUUUAAGUCUGAUGUGAAAGCCUUCGGCUUAACCGGAGUAGUGCAUUGGAAACUGGGAGACUUGAGUGCAGAAGAGGAGAGUGGAACUCCAUGUGUAGCGGUGAAAUGCGUAGAUAUAUGGAAGAACACCAGUGGCGAAAGCGGCUCUCUGGUCUGUAACUGACGCUGAGGUUCGAAAGCGUGGGUAGCAAACAGGAUUAGAUACCCUGGUAGUCCACGCCGUAAACGAUGAAUGCUAAGUGUUGGAGGGUUUCCGCCCUUCAGUGCUGCAGCUAACGCAAUAAGCAUUCCGCCUGGGGAGUACGACCGCAAGGUUGAAACUCAAAGGAAUUGACGGGGGCCCGCACAAGCGGUGGAGCAUGUGGUUUAAUUCGAAGCAACGCGAAGAACCUUACCAGGUCUUGACAUCUUCUGACAAUCCUAGAGAUAGGACUUUCCCUUCGGGGACAGAAUGACAGGUGGUGCAUGGUUGUCGUCAGCUCGUGUCGUGAGAUGUUGGGUUAAGUCCCGCAACGAGCGCAACCCUUAUUGUUAGUUGCCAGCAUUAAGUUGGGCACUCUAGCAAGACUGCCGGUGACAAACCGGAGGAAGGUGGGGAUGACGUCAAAUCAUCAUGCCCCUUAUGACCUGGGCUACACACGUGCUACAAUGGACGGUACAACGAGUCGCAAGACCGCGAGGUUUAGCAAAUCUCUUAAAGCCGUUCUCAGUUCGGAUUGUAGGCUGCAACUCGCCUACAUGAAGUCGGAAUCGCUAGUAAUCGCGGAUCAGCAUGCCGCGGUGAAUACGUUCCCGGGCCUUGUACACACCGCCCGUCACACCAUGAGAGUUUGUAACACCCAAAGCCGGUGGGGUAACCUUUUGGAGCCAGCCGU